AAGAAAAAGUAAAACUUGAACCCGAUCGGUAAACUGAAUCGGAACCCCCAAAAAACCUUAACUCUAACCGAUCUCAAAAACCUAAAAAUUACCAAAUCGCAACGGAAUCAAAAAAAUCAAUUCAGAAUGAGUGUACAAAUAACGGAAAACUUCAGUGGGAAAAAAUAAUUUAUACAGUCGCCGGAAAAUCGAAUAAUCCGGUAUACUUUUUUUUCUCUCUCUCUAGAAACUGCCUGCUGGCGUGGUGUUUGAUUUUCUCUCUCUAGAAACUACUUUCUCUCUCUCUUUUUAGCCUUCUGCUUUGUCUGCUAAAAACGCGAGUUGAACA
This 328-nucleotide unclassified non-coding RNA is filed under the name Hevea brasiliensis (rubber tree). Lineage: Eukaryota; Viridiplantae; Streptophyta; Magnoliopsida; Malpighiales; Euphorbiaceae. The record is from RNAcentral.